CUGUUGUGGGCAAAUGAAAUGGAUAUGAGCAUCUAGGGCACCAGCAGUGGUUAUGAAUCCUUCUCCUGCAAUGGCUUCUGUUCCAGGGCCGAUAAUGAUGUCAACAUCAGAUUGUAUGUCAGGGUUCCCGGCUUUUCCAAUUCCGACAAUCCGACCGGAUUUAAUUCCAAUGUCAGCCUUGACGAUGCCCCAAUGAUCGAGUAUCAAAGCAUUUGUAAUUACAACAUCCACCGAUUCUUUAGAAGUUCUCUGGCUCUGUCCCAUCCCAUCCC
This 272-nucleotide small RNA is filed under the name marine eukaryotic metagenome. RNAcentral's name for it is "5' ureB small RNA". It matches the Rfam family "5' ureB small RNA". The record is from RNAcentral.